RNAcentral lists this ribosomal RNA (253 nucleotides) under uncultured bacterium. Its description in RNAcentral is "partial 16S ribosomal RNA". It matches the Rfam family "Bacterial small subunit ribosomal RNA", at positions 524 to 776 of the family's 1533-position model. The record is from RNAcentral.
GACGUAGGUGGCGAGCGUUGUCCGGAAUUACUGGGCGUAAAGGGCGUGUAGGCGGCCUUUCAAGUCAGGCGUGAAAUCCCUGGGCUUAACCUAGGGACUGCGUUUGAAACUGGAGGGCUUGAGGACAGGAGAGGAAAGCGGAAUUCCCAGUGUAGCGGUGAAAUGCGUAGAUAUUGGGAGGAACACCAGUGGCGAAGGCGGCUUUCUGGACUGUCCCUGACGCUGAGGCGCGAAAGCCAGGGGAGCAAACGGG